Ictidomys tridecemlineatus (thirteen-lined ground squirrel) is the source of this 649-nucleotide non-coding RNA. Lineage: Eukaryota; Metazoa; Chordata; Mammalia; Rodentia; Sciuridae. The record is from RefSeq and is a predicted model, not a curated record.
UUCCUUCCACUCUCUAAUAAACACUACAAAGGCAGUGUCAAGGAAACAGCCGGCCCUAUCCCUUUCUUUAUGGGCCUAGCUCAGGCCAUUCCCGAUUAAAAAAAACAAAAACAAAAACAAAAAAAACCUAGCCACCCUCAGAAACCAACUCCCUUUUUAAACAGGAGUUUCUUUCAACCUGUUACUGGAGAAUUUCAGAAUCAUGCCUGUUGAACAAGAUGGCCCACUUCACAAGGUGAAGUUGUGCUCCUACCCAAGAAGCCAUGUAUGAGAGAAGGCAACAAGGCCAAGCCUCAGUGGAGGCCCAGAGUUAAAGGGGUACAAAGAAAGUGCUCACAGAUUAGAAGCAAUGAGGGAACAAGGAAGGGGAGCUGCAGAUGGUAAAAGACAAUGGAGAACGUCUCUAGGUCCAGCCCACACUGGACCACACUGGACUGUGGAAGGGAUCCUACAGGUCAUGAAUACCAGGAGGCUGGGAUCAUCUCCACGGACACCCACCAAUAUUACAACAAGCAGAGAAGUUGAAUCUAAAGUUGGUUUCCUCCCCUCAGUUACCUUGGUUCCCAACUCCAAGUUCAGUACAGAACUCCAACAUUCCUUGUGAGAAAAAAAAAAUCCUUGAUUGGCUCACCUCCCUGCGAUGCCAAUU